Molecule: ribosomal RNA, 1396 nt
Filed under: Lacticaseibacillus casei
Lineage: Bacteria; Bacillati; Bacillota; Bacilli; Lactobacillales; Lactobacillaceae
Description: bacterial SSU rRNA
Rfam family: Bacterial small subunit ribosomal RNA
Source: RNAcentral
ACCAUGCAAGUCGAACGAGUUCUCGGUUGAUGAUCGGUGCUUGCCCGAGAUUCAACAUGGAACGAGUGGCCGGACGGGUGAGUAAUACACGUGGGGUAACCUGCCCUUAAGUGGGGGAUAACAUUUUGGAAACCAGAUGCUAAUACCGCAUAGAUCCAAGAACCGCAUGGUUCUUGGCUGAAAGAUGGCGUAAGCUAUCGCUUUUGGAUUUCGGACCCGCGGCGUAUUAGCUAGUUGGUGAGGUAAUGGCUCAACCAAGGCGAUGUAUACGUAGCCGAACUGAGAGGUUGAUCGGCCACAUUGGGACUGAGACACGGCCCAAACUCCUACGGGAGGCAGCAGUAGGGAAUCUUCCACAAUGGACGCAAGUCUGAUGGAGCAACGCCGCGUGAGUGAAGAAGGCUUUCGGGUCGUAAAACUCUGUUGUUGGAGAAGAAUGGUCGGCAGAGUAACUGUUGUCGGCGUGACGGUAUCCAACCAGAAAGCCACGGCUAACUACGUGCCAGCAGCCGCGGUAAUACGUAGGUGGCAAGCGUUAUCCGGAUUUAUUGGGCGUAAAGCGAGCGCAGGCGGUUUUUUAAGUCUGAUGUGAAAGCCCUCGGCUUAACCGAGGAAGCGCAUCGGAAACUGGGAAACUUGAGUGCAGAAGAGGACAGUGGAACUCCAUGUGUAGCGGUGAAAUGCGUAGAUAUAUGGAAGAACACCAGUGGCGAAGGCGGCUGUCUGGUCUGUAACUGACGCUGAGGCUCGAAAGCAUGGGUAGCGAACAGGAUUAGAUACCCUGGUAGUCCAUGCCGUAAACGAUGAAUGCUAGGUGUUGGAGGGUUUCCGCUCUUCAGUGCCGCAGCUAACGCAUUAAGCAUUCCGCCUGGGGAGUACGACCGCAAGGUUGAAACUCAAAGGAAUUGACGGGGGCCCGCACAAGCGGUGGAGCAUGUGGUUUAAUUCGAAGCAACGCGAAGAACCUUACCAGGUCUUGACAUCUUUUGAUCACCUGAGAGAUCAGGUUUCCCCUUCGGGGGCAAAAUGACAGGUGGUGCAUGGUUGUCGUCAGCUCGUGUCGUGAGAUGUUGGGUUAAGUCCCGCAACGAGCGCAACCCUUAUGACUAGUUGCCAGCAUUUAGUUGGGCACUCUAGUAAGACUGCCGGUGACAAACCGGAGGAAGGUGGGGAUGACGUCAAAUCAUCAUGGCCCCUUAUGACCUGGGCUACACACGUGCUACAAUGGAUGGUACAACGAGUUGCGAGACCGCGAGGUCAAGCUAAUCUCUUAAAGCCAUUCUCAGUUCGGACUGUAGGCUGCAACUCGCCUACACGAAGUCGGAAUCGCUAGUAACGCGGAUCAGCACCGCCGCGGUGAAUACGAUUCCCGGGCCUUGUACACACCCGCCCGUCA